AUCGAGAUUUACGUAGAUUUCCGGAAGCGCAUCUGUGGAAAUUUAAGACCGCUGAUAGUAAUAAGUAUCUUUGCUCGGCACGUAGAAACGGUGUUGCAAAAUAUAAACCACCAUCGGAAGCAAAUACCCUCGAUAUGCAGAGUUUGUCCCAGGAACUUGCUGCCGUACUCUCAUAUCCAUCGACAAGUUCAUUGCAACAAACAUCGUCAAGUGAUUGGACUGAAGAUCAUUCUAUUGAAAAUUUUUUGAAACUCAGUCCAAUUCAACGAAAAAAUCUACACAGGGAACAAUACGUGACGAAGAAAUGCGAUGAGAUUCAUGAAGCAGUAUCAAAAAAAAAUCAAGCUAGAAUACGGAAGUGAAAUCGAAACAACAGCAGAAAAAGUGCAAAAGUAUUUUGCGUCAAUGUUGGCGAAUCUGAAAACCCGUUACCAUUCUGAAACUAAUAAGUCACGUAAAAUUGAGUACCUCUCGGUAUUGCCAGAUACGUGGAGCAUUUGUGCGAUCGAAGAGGAGCUUAAUUGCUCGUACUGGUAUGCUCUGGCUGCGAAAAAACUUUCUGCAGGAACUGAACUCGGGACUGAAGUGUCUGAAUCUACACGUCCUGGAAAUAGAUCUAUUGACUCAAACGUUCGCCAACGUGUCAUAGAAUAUUACGAAGAUCAAGAGAAUGUGAAAGAGAUGCCAGGGAAGAAGGACGUUAAAUCAGUGAAGAAUCCCGAUGGUUCACGCACUCAGAGACAAAAAAAAACAAUUGAUCUUUAACCUCCGUGAAUUGUACUCCAAUUUCAUCAAUAAUAAUCCAGAUCUUCGUAUUGGAUUUGCCAAAUUCGCCGAGUUAAGACCUCAGCAUUGUGUUUUGGCUGGAGCGGCGGGCACCCAUACAGUAUGUGUGUGUACUAUACACCAAAACUUGAAGCUUAUGUUGGAAGGCUGUAAACUAUCGACGUUAGCAAAGGACUCUGAUUGGUUCGAUAACUCUCAGCCAGUUUAUAAGAGUCUCCUGGCUAAAUUUCUUUGUCCAGAGCCAACAGAGUCAUGUUACUAUCGGUUGUGCAAAAAUUGUCCGAAAAUCUCCACCGUAAUUGAUGAAAUGAAUGGACUGUUUGAGAAUAAUGAAAAGGACAAAAUUCGUUACAAGAAGUGGACGUCAACGAAUCACUGCACCUUGGUUGAGGUGAUAUGUUCCACAGAAAUUUUCUUGCAGUCACUCUCGGAACAGAUUGGGAAAAUAUGAAGCAUGACUUUGACGCAAAGUCACAAAGUAGAUACUACUCAAAUUUGAAGACCCAACUGAAAUCAGGCGAAUUUCUAGUGACGUUAGAUUUUGCAGAAAACUAUGCCUUUAUAGUACAAGAAGCAGCGCAAGCCUUCCAUUGGAAUAAUGACCAAGCAACUCUUUUCCCAAUGGUUGUGUAUUACAUGGAGAAUGAUGAGUCUAAACAUUGCAGCUUCGUUGGCAUCUCUGAUUGUAGACAUCAUGAUACAGUGGCUGUUCAUUUGUUCCAAGAAGAAUUGAUAAAAUAUUUGAAACAAAAAUUCCAGAAUGUUUCAAAAAUAUAUUAUUUUUCGGAUGGAGCACCACAACAGUUUAAGAACAAAUCGGCUUUCAUCAAUUUGUGCUACCACACAAAUGACUUUGGGCUAAAGGCUGAAUGGCAUUUUUUUGCUACAGCCCAUGGGAAGGGACCAUGUGAUGGGUUAGCAGGCACGAUCAAACGUCACGCUGCGAGGGCAUCUCUUCAAAUGGGCACGAGAAACGAAAUUUUAACACCCUUGGCAUUGUAUGACUGGGCACGUCGGUCAUUUAAAAACAUCGAUUUUACUUUUAUUUCGAAUGAGAAAUACGAAUCAGACGCAGUACAGCUAAAGUCAAGAUUUGCUAAUGCUGUGGCUAUAAAAAAGACGCAAUCUAUGCAUUGUAUUAUCCCUGA
This is a long non-coding RNA of Venturia canescens, 1934 nucleotides long. RefSeq lists it as uncharacterized. NCBI's taxonomy places the organism in Eukaryota, Metazoa, Arthropoda, Insecta, Hymenoptera, Ichneumonidae. The transcript has 4 exons. The record is from RefSeq and is a predicted model, not a curated record.